AAAUCUUAACCAUUUAUUUUUUUAAAUAGAUGGUUAAGAUGUAAUAUGAUUCUAGAGAUGACCUACUAUUCAAACAUCUGUACCAUUCAUCAUAUUUUGGCCUUAGAAAAAAUUUUUAGUCUACAAAACCGGUUUUAUCCAACUAAGAAUACUAUAACCUUCUCAAAUACCUAUAGCAAUAGUUGAAAUUCAAAUUACAACUAAACUGUAAAUUUAAAUGCAAAGCAACAUAAAAAACUUAAUUAUAAAUCAAAUUCAACUUUUAAAUAUAAAACACAAAUUUAAAAUAAAACUUUCAGUUCAAAUUCAAAAUUUUAAUUUAAAUCAAAAAUUAAAAUUUGACUUUCAGAUUAAAACUACAAUAUAGAUUCAAAAUUUAAAAUUUUAAUAUAAUUUUUGAAAUUAAAAUUUUACAUUACAAUACGAACUUCAAAAAUUAAAUUUAAAUUUAAUAUUUUUUUGAGUUGGAUAAUUAACAAAUUGGGUAUUAUCUAAUUUGGUAAGUAACAAAAUUAAAUAAAAUAUUUAAUAUUAUAGGAUGCUAACAAAUUUGGCAUAUACUACUAAUUUUUUUUCAAUAAUAUCAUAUUAACUAAUUCAAUUCGAUAACAUGUUUAAUAGGUUACUUUAUGUAAAAUCCAACUAUACCCUUUACUAAUUAAAAGUUUGAUUUUAAUACUUAUGGUGUAUUGAAGUAUUGCUCUAAGGGCAUGUUUGGUUCAUCUAUUUUAGACUAUGGAAUCGGAAUGGAAUUCAUUGAUUCCGAUAGUUGCCGUUUGUUUUAUAGGAAUAAGAUUCCGAUUCUCAUUUCACUCCGGAAUGGGAAUGACCAAAUCCAUUUAUAAUUCAAUCCGACUUUGAAUCCCAGAAUGGCUGAUUCCAAAAUAAACUAUUCAAAAUCCUCUUUCACCAACACCGAUCUUCUCUCUCUUCAUCACUUUUUUCUUUCUUAAUCAAAACUCUCUCUCAAAUAUUUUAAAUUUUCAUUCCAAUUUCGAUUCCAAUAAUGAACCAAAUAUUUUGAAUGAUUCGUCAUUCCAUUUUCCAUUCCAAAACAAUCCAAUUCUAUUUUUCAUUUCUAUUCCAAUCAUGAACCAAACAUGCCCUAAAAGUUAUUGCCGGAUAACUUAAUUACCACUCCAUUCAAAGCAUUUGUCACUUGGAUAAUGUAGAAACUCAUAUAAAAUUUAGUUGGUCUACGACUACCUGAACAAGCAGGGAAAAACAGAAUAAAAUGAGAAUAACACAAAGUUUUUUUUCCAGAUAAUUUUUUUUCCGGGAAUAAUCGAACUAAUAUCAUGAUGUACUAUAUAAUUUGAAUGAUGGAAACAAACUAAUAUAAAAUUCUUGCAUUAAUUCUAGUAAAGUAUAUGAUUCGGCUAGUUUUUAAUUUGCCCCUUGCAUGAAUAGAUUAAUUCAAUUAGAAAAAACAAUGUGCUUUAAUUUCCACUAGAUUUUGGACCCACUAAUUAUAUAUCUUUAACAAGAUCAUGCAUUCAAAUAUUUCUAGAAGAGGUCAAAACAAAAAUUAUAUAAAAAAGAAAAAAGAGUUUCUGGAAAGGUUCGGCAUGUUUUAUUAUAUUUUAUUUGAUUUAAUAUAUUUGGAGAAUUUAUACUUCACUGUGGCUUAAUUAUUUUGUUUGAUAAAGCUUCAACCCACCUAGUUAUUAUUCUAGCUAGUUUAGUAGGGUUUGCCUUUUCGCUUAUGGAUAGGGUCUAUGUACGUGCCCUUUAAAGUUCAAACCAACAGUCGGUUUGAAUUGACCAACUUUGUAAUUGACUAGAAACCACACGUUUCAUAUAUAUAUAUAUAUAUAUUAAAGGAAAGUGGUCAUCAGAGAGUCAAAUCUCCAAAUAUCCCUGAUACCAAAUAAAUAAUCAACAUUACUGAAACUAUAACUAACACAUCAGGCUGGCCAAUUUUCUCCGUAUUCAUUUAGAAGGGUUCAUCACUUCCACUGGUAUGGCCAAUACAUCAAGACUUUCUCAUCGAUUUACUAAACCAUACCUAUGCUCUAACUUCUCGUUAGACAACAUCGAAUUGAACACCAUUUUUCCAUAGAAUCUUUCUGCCCCCUUAUUGAUGAAAAUACAAUAAUGAAUAGUCAUUCGAUAGAUAAUUAGUAUUUUACUAUUUGUAGUUCCUAUUCAAAUAAGCAUAUGAGGAUUGAGAUUGUUAACUAUAUAAGUUGAGUAUUGAAGAGAAUGAUUCUCUUUUUUUGGAAUCCGAGAUAUCACUUCAAUAUCUAUCUAAUAUGAUGAGAUUCUUUUUUUUUUUCAAUUAAAUACAAAUUUCAUCGAAAAGAAAAAUAUUUAUAAUAAAGAAUUCGUUCUCGCAUAACUUGUAUCAUAUAAUCAAAUAAUAAGUUUAUAUUGCAAACAUGGAACGAAAAAGACAAUAUAUCAGCAUAGUAGAUGAUAGAGGAGGCCUCUACCUUAGCUUAAUCUAAGCCUGAAACUACGAGAUAUAAAAUGAUCCACUAAUCCUAUGGAUCCUUAGAUUAAAUUAUGAUGGAUCCAAAAAAUAAAGAAAUAUUGAGUUGUUUCGUCUUCGUUCUAUUAAAUCUUGUAUAUACUUGUAUAUUGUAUAUACUUGUAUAUAUAGUAUAUAGGUCUGUACAUGUGAUAUGAAAGAUAUAUGCAAAUAUAUAUAUGUUAUGUAGUAAGCUCAUUCUUUAUUUAUUCGGCUCAAUCCUUUUUUUAGGAAAAGAUUGGCCGAGUUUAAUUGCAAUCAAUUAGGAGAACAAAGAGAAUUACUAAACUCUACACGCUUAGUUUUAUCUUUCUAUUUCGUUUUAUCUAGCUUAUCUACGGUUCGAAGUCGAAUUUAAUCUGUUUCCAUACUUCACAAGCAGCGGCUAGCUCAGGGCUCCAUUUGCUAGCUUCACGGAUAAUUUCAGCACCUUCACGAGCAAGAUCACGUCCUUCAUUACGAGCUUGUACACACGCUUCUAAAGCCACCCGAUUAGCUACUGCACCAGUGCAUUUCCCAAGGGUCCCUAAAGUUCCUCCACCAAACUGUAGUACGGAAUCAUCUCCAAAGAUUUCGGUAAGAGCAGGCAUAUGCCAAACAUGAAUACCCCCUGAAGCCACAGGUAUAACACCUGGCAUAGAGACCCAAUCUUGAGUGAAAAAGAUACCACGACUACGGUCUUUUUCAAUAAAAUCAUCACGUAAUAAAUCAACAAAACCCAAAGUCAUCUCGCGUUCCCUCCAGUUUACCUACUACUGUACCAGCGUGAAUAUGAUCU
Molecule: long non-coding RNA, 3251 nt
Filed under: Ananas comosus (pineapple)
Lineage: Eukaryota; Viridiplantae; Streptophyta; Magnoliopsida; Poales; Bromeliaceae
Description: long non-coding RNA (ACOM_LNC012591)
Source: RNAcentral